Molecule: non-coding RNA, 114 nt
Organism: Aspergillus chevalieri
Lineage: Eukaryota; Fungi; Ascomycota; Eurotiomycetes; Eurotiales; Aspergillaceae
Source: the annotation of a RefSeq genome assembly
GCCGGCGGCGUGGCAUAGUGGUAGCGUCCCGAGGUAGCCCCCCCGGUAUUGGGAACUUUUCCUAGAGGAAGUUCUACUACUGGGAGUUCGUGAGUUCGAUUCUCACCACUGGCA